RNAcentral lists this ribosomal RNA (104 nucleotides) under Bacteroidales bacterium. Lineage: Bacteria; Pseudomonadati; Bacteroidota; Bacteroidia; Bacteroidales. The record is from RNAcentral.
CUAUGGCGCGGGGGCGCACCUCUUCCCAUUCCGAACAGAGAAGUUAAGCCCCGCCGCGACGAUGAUACUGCGGGAGACCGUGGAAAAGUAGUUCGCCGCCCACC